CCUACGGGAGGCAGCAGUGAGGAAUAUUCCACAAUGGGCGAAAGCCUGAUGGAGCGACGCCGCGUGCGGGAUGAAGCCCUUUGGGGUGUAAACCGCUUUUAGAGGGUAGUCAGUACCCUCUGAAUAAGCAUCGGCUAACUACGUGCCAGCAGCCGCGGUAAUACGUAGGAUGCAAGCGUUGUCCGGAUUUACUGGGCGUAAAGCGCGCGCAGGCGGCACAGUAAGUAAGGUGUGAAAUAUCCCUGCUCAACGGGGAGGGUGCACUUUAGACUGCUGAGCUUGAGGUCGGUAGAGGGGGGUGGAAUUGCUGGUGUAGCGGUGAAAUGCGUAGAGAUCAGCAGGAACACCCGUGGCGAAGGCGGCCCCCUGGGCCGUCCUGACGCUGAGGCGCGAAGGCUAGGGGAGCGAACGGGAUUAGAUACCCUUGUAGUC
RNAcentral lists this ribosomal RNA (432 nucleotides) under uncultured bacterium. Its description in RNAcentral is "partial 16S ribosomal RNA". It matches the Rfam family "Bacterial small subunit ribosomal RNA", at positions 338 to 795 of the family's 1533-position model. The record is from RNAcentral.